RNAcentral lists this ribosomal RNA (440 nucleotides) under uncultured bacterium. RNAcentral describes it as "partial 16S ribosomal RNA". It matches the Rfam family "Bacterial small subunit ribosomal RNA", at positions 338 to 795 of the family's 1533-position model. The record is from RNAcentral.
CCUACGGGUGACAGCAGUAGGGAAUAUUGCUCAAUGGGGGAAACCCUGAAGCAGCAACGCCGCGUGGAGGAUGAAGGUUUUAUGAUUGUAAACCUCUUUUUUUAGAGAAGUUAAUGACGGUAUCUAACGAAUAGGCACCGUCUAACUCCGUGCCAGCAGCCGUGGGAAUACGGAGGGUGCAAGCGUUAUUCGGAAUCACUGGGCGUAAAGAGCGCGUAGGCGGGAUAGCAAGUCAGAUGUGAAAUCCUAUGGCUUAACCAUAGAACUGCAUUUGAGACUGUUAUUCUAGAGUUUGGGAGAGGUAGGUGGAAUUCUUGGUGUAGGGGUGAAAUCCGUAGAGAUCAAGAGGAAUACUCAUUGCGAAGGCGACCUGCUAGAACAUAACUGACGCUGAGGCGCGAAAGCGUGGGGAGCAAACAGGAUUAGAUACCCGGGUAGUC